RNAcentral lists this ribosomal RNA (368 nucleotides) under uncultured bacterium. Its description in RNAcentral is "bacterial SSU rRNA". It matches the Rfam family "Bacterial small subunit ribosomal RNA", at positions 28 to 408 of the family's 1533-position model. The record is from RNAcentral.
GACGAACGCUGGCGGCGUGCUUAACACAUGCAAGUCAAGGGGGCCCGACAAGGGCAACCGGCGAACGGGUGCGUAACACGUGAGCGACCUACCUCUUUGCGGGGGAUAGCCGGCCCAACGGCCGGGUAAUACCGCAUACGCUCUUUGGGGGGCAUACCCUGGAGAGGAAACUUCCGAGGCAGAGAGAGGGGCUCGCGGCCUAUCAGCUAGUUGGUGGGGUAACGGCCCACCAAGGCAUCGACGGGUAGCUGGCUGAGAGGAUGGCCAGCCACAUUGGGACUGAGAGACGGCCCAGACUCCUACGGGAGGCAGCAGUGGGAAUCUUGCGCAAUGGCCGAAAGGCUGACGCAGCGACGCCGCGUGGGGGA